UACACGCUGUGACUAAGCAUAUCAAUAAGCGGAGGAAAAGAAACUAACAAGGAUUCCCCUAGUAACGGCGAGUGAAGCGGGAAGAGCUCAAAUUUGAAAUCUUAAAGGGUUUCCCUUUACGAAUUGUAGUUUAAAGAAGUGUUUUCUGCUGAGGUUUUGGUAAAAGUUCUUUGGAAUAGGACAUCAUAGAGGGUGAGAAUCCCGUAUUUGACCUUUACUUUCAACUUUGUGAUACACUUUCAAAGAGUCGGAUUGUUUGGGAAUGCAGUCCAAAAUGGGUGGUAAAUUUCAUCUAAAGCUAAAUAUUGGCGAGAGACCGAUAGCGAACAAGUACCGUGAGGGAAAGAUGAAAAGAACUUUGAAAAGAGAGUUAAACAGUACGUGAAAUUGUCAAAAGGGAAGCGUUUGACACCAGUGUUGUUUUUCUGAAAAUCAAUUAAAGAACUGUUUAUGCUAAGCUGUUUAGACUUUAUCAGCUAAUCUGUUUAGUUUUGAGCUUCUCUUUAAUGCACUUUUCAGUUAACAAGUCAACAUCAAUUUCUUUUGCUGUAAAAAAGCUUGAGGAAGGUGGCUUGAGAUUCGUCUUAAGUGUUUAUAGCCUCUUGCCUAUGCAGUCGGAGAGAUUGAGGUCUGCAGCGUAGAUCCUUCGGGGCUAAAUGCAUUUGUGCUAAGUUAUAGCAUUUUAUAGACAACUUGUUGACUAUGAUUUGUCUUGUAGCUUACUCGCUUAUGUUAUUUUACCUACGCUUAGGAUGUUGAGUCGUAGAGCACGCAG
RNAcentral lists this ribosomal RNA (775 nucleotides) under uncultured Neocallimastigales. Its description in RNAcentral is "partial large subunit ribosomal RNA". It matches the Rfam family "Eukaryotic large subunit ribosomal RNA", at positions 22 to 628 of the family's 3401-position model. Lineage: Eukaryota; Fungi; Neocallimastigomycota; Neocallimastigomycetes; Neocallimastigales. The record is from RNAcentral.